GACGAACGCUGGCGGCGUGCUUAACACAUGCAAGUCGAACGGAAAGGCCCUGCUUUUGUGGGGUGCUCGAGUGGCGAACGGGUGAGUAACACGUGAGUAACCUGCCCUUGACUUUGGGAUAACUUCAGGAAACUGGGGCUAAUACUGGAUAGGAGCUCCUGCUGCAUGGUGGGGGUUGGAAAGUUUCGGCGGUUGGGGAUGGACUCGCGGCUUAUCAGCUUGUUGGUGGGGUAGUGGCUUACCAAGGCUUUGACGGGUAGCCGGCCUGAGAGGGUGACCGGCCACAUUGGGACUGAGAUACGGCCCAGACUCCUACGGGAGGCAGCAGUGGGGAAUAUUGCACAAUGGGCGGAAGCCUGAUGCAGCAACGCCGCGUGCGGGAUGACGGCCUUCGGGUUGUAAACCGCCUUCGCCUGUGACGAAGCGUGAGUGACGGUAAUGGGGAAAGAAGCACCGGCUAACUACGU
RNAcentral lists this ribosomal RNA (467 nucleotides) under uncultured bacterium. RNAcentral describes it as "partial 16S ribosomal RNA". It matches the Rfam family "Bacterial small subunit ribosomal RNA", at positions 28 to 506 of the family's 1533-position model. The record is from RNAcentral.